UUGGGUUUGCGUCGCUUCUACAGGGAAAACGAAGUCGGUGACCAUAUUUUUUUUUAAUAUCAUCUAAUUCGUAAGACAAAGAGGAAAAACAUAUUAAUUUAAAAAAAAUUCUAUGGAGCGGUUCUCGUGAUUUAUACCAGAAACCGAAAAUUGUAGAAGAAAAAUAUAGAUUUACCCUAUAUAUUCAAUGUAAUUUAGUACCC
Molecule: long non-coding RNA, 203 nt
Filed under: Mytilus galloprovincialis (Mediterranean mussel)
Lineage: Eukaryota; Metazoa; Mollusca; Bivalvia; Mytilida; Mytilidae
Source: RNAcentral